AGCAGCCGCGGUAAUUCCAGCUCCAAUAGCGUAUAUUAAAGUUGUUGCAGUUAAAAAGCUCGUAGUUGAAUUUCGGGGUCAGUAGAUUGGUCGUGCCACUGGUAUGUACUGGUCUUACUGGCUCCUCCUUCCUGAUGAACCGUAAUGCCAUUAAUUUGGUGUUGCGGGGAGACUGGACUGUUACUUUGAAAAAAUUAGAGUGUUUAAAGCAGGCUAACGCUUGAAUACAUUAGCAUGGAAUAAUGAAAUAGGACGUUCGAUCUUAUUUUGUUGGUUUCUAGGAUUGACGUAAUGAUUAAUAGGGAUAGUUGGGGGCAUUAGUAUUCAAUUGUCAGAGGUGAAAUUCUUGGAUUUAUUGAAGACUAACUACUGCGAAAGCAUUUGCCAAGGAUGUUUUCAUUAAUCAAGAACGAAAGUUAGGGGAUCGAAGACGAUCAGAUACCGUCGUAGUCUUAACCAUAAACUAUGCCGA
This 472-nucleotide small RNA is filed under the name uncultured Glomus. RNAcentral's name for it is "SSU rRNA". It matches the Rfam family "Eukaryotic small subunit ribosomal RNA", at positions 569 to 1045 of the family's 1831-position model. The record is from RNAcentral. Lineage: Eukaryota; Fungi; Glomeromycota; Glomeromycetes; Glomerales; Glomeraceae.